Molecule: ribosomal RNA, 253 nt
Filed under: uncultured bacterium
Lineage: Bacteria
Description: partial 16S ribosomal RNA
Rfam family: Bacterial small subunit ribosomal RNA
Source: RNAcentral
UACAGAGGGUGCGAGCGUUGUCCGGAAUUAUUGGGCGUAAGAGCUCGUAGGCGGUGUGUCGCGUCGGCCGUGAAACCUGCAGCUUAACUGUGGGCUUGCGGUCGAUACGGGCAUCACUGGAGUUCGGCAGGGGAGACUGGAAUUCCUGGUGUAGCGGUGAAAUGCGCAGAUAUCAGGAGGAACACCAGCGGCGAAGGCGGCGCUCUGGGCUGGAACUGACGCUGAGGAGCGAAAGCGUGGGGAGCGAACAGGA